AUUGAACGCUGGCGGCAUGCCUUACACAUGCAAGUCGAACGGCAGCGCGGACUUCGGUCUGGCGGCGAGUGGCGAACGGGUGAGUAAUGCAUCGGAACGUACCUUUCAGUGGGGGAUAACGUAGCGAACGUUACGCUAAUACCGCCUAUUCUGUGUGCAGGAACGCAGGGGAUCGCAAGACCUUGCGCUGAUUGAUCUGCCGGUGUCAGAUUAGCUAGUCGGUGAGGUAAAGGCUCACCAAGGCGAAGAUCUGUAGCGGGUCUGAGAGGAUGAUCCGCCACACUGGGACUGAGACACGGCCCAGACUCCUACGGGAGGCAGCAGUGGUGAAUUUUGGACAAUGGGGGCAACCCUGAUCCAGCCAUGCCGCGUGAGUGAAGAAGGCCUUCGGGUUGUAAAGCUCUUUCGGCCGGGAAGAAAUCGCAUGGGUUAAUACCCUGUGUGGAUGACGGUACCGGAAUAAGAAGCACCGGCUAACUACGUGCCAGCCGCCGCAGUAA
Molecule: ribosomal RNA, 500 nt
Filed under: uncultured bacterium
Lineage: Bacteria
Description: partial 16S ribosomal RNA
Rfam family: Bacterial small subunit ribosomal RNA
Source: RNAcentral